AGCAGGCGGGGCCAUUAUCUCCUGUUUUCUGAUUCCUUUCUCCUUUGGCUGGGUGAUGAACUUUGAACCUCCCUUCAGCCAAUACCUGCAUGGUUAUACCGGGACAAAACCAGCAGCAUGGAAGGCUGCAGCCAUUUUACUGCAGGAGUGUGCAAUCAAAGGGAAGGAGCAAAACUCACAGUUAUAGAAACUGUUAUGGGUUAGAGAAGAGAUGAAAAAGGGCAGUUAAAGUGAGGAGAGAGCAAUUCGGAUCAGGGAGAAUAUGGAGCAACGGAAUAGACUACGACAAUCACAUUAUCCAACAAAAUGGCACAAGAGGAAAAUAGAACACAUCACAGAAGUGCACGUAUCCGAGCCUACAGAGAGAGGCAGAACUCUGAUUACAAAAUUCUAUUCCUGCCGCAAAACAUCCAGCAGCAGAGAUCUCCUGCUUUAGGGCCUACUUUCUUAAGAAGCACAGAAAACAAAAUUGUAGUUAUUUUGUUCAUAGCCAUUGGGCUAAUAUGCACUGCAAUAUGGCAGAAAAACAAUUCUCAAGCAUUUACUGACAACCAGUAAUCUAACCAACUGCGAGGAGGCGCUGGAGCUAAUAAGCAAGUUGGCAAUGGAUACAAUGAAUGACAUUCAGAGGCAACAUCAGGACAUUAAACUUGCUGUGGUUCUGUGUGAACCUGCAUUUAAAGACUGACCAGUCAGGCACAACUUUUUUUUUUUUUGUAACUUAUAUUUCUUAUUGAAAUUAAAAGUGUUGAUCAUACAGCAAAUGGAAUUAGAAAAUAAACACAUAUGUUGCAACAUGAAAUUUCAGUUUUCGCUGAACAAUUAUUAUAUUUGCUGUGAAGGACGUGCAUAAGGAUGUGGCUCAUUUAAAGGAAGAAUUCGCUAAUAUAAAAGCAGAGGUAUCAAAGGGUUCAAUCAAUCCUUUCAGCUUAGCCAAUAUAACUAAGAGGGUUUUUUUUAAUUUAGACAGUUUUAUGUAAGUAUUUCUAGGCAUUAGAGCCUGUAUGUUUCAGGACUGACCAGUCACACAUAAUUUUUAUUACUUUCUUUUGUUGUUCAAUGUUGAAAAAUAAAUAUUUUUUUGGUUAAAACUU
Molecule: long non-coding RNA, 1094 nt
Organism: Xenopus tropicalis (tropical clawed frog)
Lineage: Eukaryota; Metazoa; Chordata; Amphibia; Anura; Pipidae
Exons: 2
Source: RefSeq, a predicted model, not a curated record